GAGUUUGAUCAUGGCUCAGGAUGAACGCUGGCGGCGUGCGUAACACAUGCAAGUUGGACGACGGUGCCAUGAAGUGGUAACACGGAAUGGUAUACGGAGUAGCGGACGGGUGAGUAAAGCAUGAGGAGCUGUCCUGUUGAGGGGGAUAACGUUCGGAAACGGACCCUAAUACCCCAUAGGCCGAGAGGUUAAAGGCAGAGAUGCGCGACAGGAGGUACUCGUGUCCUAUCAGCUGGUUGGUGAGGUAACGGCUCACCAAGGCAACGACGGGUAGCCGGCCUGAGAGGGUGACCGGCCACACUGGAACUGAGACACGGUCCAGACUCCUACGGGAGGCAGCAGUGGGGAAUAUUGGGCAAUGGGAGAAAUCCUGACCCAGCGACGCCGCGUGAACGAAGACGGCCUUCGGGUUGUAAAGUUCUUUUAUGUGGGAAGAAGGAAGUGACGUACCACAUGAAUAAGCCCCGCA
Molecule: ribosomal RNA, 469 nt
Filed under: Synergistales bacterium canine oral taxon 244
Lineage: Bacteria; Thermotogati; Synergistota; Synergistia; Synergistales
Description: bacterial SSU rRNA
Rfam family: Bacterial small subunit ribosomal RNA
Source: RNAcentral